CUCGUCGUCGUCAUCGUGUUCCUCGUUGAGGAAUGUCAUGUUAAAACCUCAUGAGAACCACAUUUAGUUGAAGCGAUUAAAAGUCCAAGUCUAGUUAGUCGGUGUUAGCCAGGUAAAAAGUCCUUCAUGGACGUCAGUUGUCGUCACCGUCUCCGUCAGCGGCUAUCGUCGUCCUCUACGUCAGCGGUUGUCGUCAUCGUCCAGGCGCGCCUGAGCUAGCCCGCCCGACGUCGCCGUCGUCAUCCACCGCCCGCUGCCGUCGCCGUCGUUGUCCAGGGCGGUGGCCCCUUCUGGGCGCACCGGGACGGACGGCUUCAGUCGCUCUCCCCUUGCUGCAGACCCCAACGGCGUCCGCGCUCCUUGGCCGCGGCCGCUCCUCGCGCUGCUCCUCCUCCACGGGCAGCUCCACCAGCGGAACCUCCUCGUCGGCGUCAGCCCCAGCCCGAGGAGCUACUGCGUCCGCCGCGGCCGCGACCUCCGCUACGACGACGGGGCGAGCGGCCGGCACGAGCUCGGGGAGCUAGAGGAGGGAGGAGGCCCUGCGCCGGCACGACGAGGAGCCACUAGGACCUGCGCCUGCGCCGGCAGGAGGAGUCGCUAGGGCACCGGCUGCCGCCGCCGCUUCAGGCGCCCGUCCAGUCGCCCCGCCUCCCUCUCGCGCCGGCCCCGGCCUGCCACCUGC
Molecule: ribosomal RNA, 682 nt
Filed under: Triticum aestivum (bread wheat)
Lineage: Eukaryota; Viridiplantae; Streptophyta; Magnoliopsida; Poales; Poaceae
Description: partial small subunit ribosomal RNA
Source: RNAcentral